This is a small nucleolar RNA of Caenorhabditis elegans, 197 nucleotides long. NCBI's taxonomy places the organism in Eukaryota, Metazoa, Nematoda, Chromadorea, Rhabditida, Rhabditidae. The record is from Ensembl.
ACAACCGGGAAGAGGUCACCUCCUUCUCCUCCUAGUUGGUUCUCUUUCUCACAAGGAAAGGAAGUCAAUCUAGUCCCGGACUUCGAAUCGAGACGUAUGUCAUUUGAAAGCAUAUGUUUAGCCUAGAUCACCACAAAAAUUUUAGCGGCGAGUCACGAUCUCAUAUCUCCCCCAAUUUGCACAUUCCAUCACUCAUU